This 329-nucleotide unclassified non-coding RNA is filed under the name soil metagenome. RNAcentral's name for it is "partial contains 5.8S ribosomal RNA, internal transcribed spacer 2, and large subunit ribosomal RNA". The stretch from base 1 to 119 matches the Rfam family "5.8S ribosomal RNA", at positions 35 to 154 of the family's 154-position model. The record is from RNAcentral.
GAUGAAGAACGUAGCGAAAUGCGAUAAGUAAUGCGAAUUGCAGAAUCCGUGAAUCAUCGAAUCUUUGAACGCACAUUGCGCCCCUUGGUAUUCCAUGGGGCAUGCCUGUUCGAGCGUCAUUUGUACCCUCAAGCUUUGCUUGGUGUUGGGCGUCUUGUCGUAUUACGACUCGCCUUAAAUACAUUGGCAGCCGGCACUUUGGCCUAGGAGCGCAGCACAUUUUGCGAUCGUAGCCCGUUGUACUGGCGUCCAUCAAGAACAUUUACCACGUUUGACCUCGGAUCAGGUAGGGAUACCCGCUGAACUUAAGCAUAUCAAUAAGCGGAGGA